UACGUAGGGUGCGAGCGUUGUCCGGAAUUACUGGGCGUAAAGAGCUCGUAGGUGGUUUGUCGCGUUGUCCGUGAAAUUCCCUGGCUUAACUGGGGGCGUGCGGGCGAUACGGGCAGACUGGAGUACUGCAGGGGAGACUGGAAUUCCUGGUGUAGCGGUGGAAUGCGCAGAUAUCUGCAGGGAACACCCGUGGCGAAAAGCGGCGCGU
This 208-nucleotide ribosomal RNA is filed under the name uncultured bacterium. RNAcentral's name for it is "partial 16S ribosomal RNA". It matches the Rfam family "Bacterial small subunit ribosomal RNA", at positions 524 to 729 of the family's 1533-position model. The record is from RNAcentral.